CGCGUAGGCGGUUGUGAUAGUCAGGUGUGAAAUCCUUCGGCUUAACCGGAGAACUGCAUCUGAAACUUCAUAACUAGAGUACAGGAGAGGGAAACGGAAUUCCCGGUGUAGAGGUGAAAUUCGUAGAUAUCGGGAGGAACACCAGUGGCGAAGGCGGUUUCCUGGCCUGAUACUGACGCUGAGGCGCGAAAGCGUGGGGAGCGAAACAGGAUUAGAUACCCUGGUAGUCCACGCGGUAAACGGUGAACACUAGGUGUGGGAGGUGUAAUACCUUCUGUGCCGAAGCUAACGCGUUAAGUGUUCCGCCUGGGAAGUACGGCCGCAAGGUUGAA
This 332-nucleotide ribosomal RNA is filed under the name uncultured bacterium. Its description in RNAcentral is "bacterial SSU rRNA". It matches the Rfam family "Bacterial small subunit ribosomal RNA", at positions 568 to 898 of the family's 1533-position model. The record is from RNAcentral.